CAGGCCUAACACAUGCAAGUCGAGCGCACUCUUCGGAGUGAGCGGCGGACGGGUUAGUAACGCGUGGGAACGUGCCCUUCUCUAAGGAAUAGCCACUGGAAACGGUGAGUAAUACCUUAUACGCCCUUCGGGGGAAAGAUUUAUCGGAGAAGGAUCGGCCCGCGUUAGAUUAGAUAGUUGGUGGGGUAACGGCCUACCAAGUCUACGAUCUAUAGCUGGUUUUAGAGGAUGAUCAGCAACACUGGGACUGAGACACGGCCCAGACUCCUACGGGAGGCAGCAGUGGGGAAUCUUGGACAAUGGGCGCAAGCCUGAUCCAGCCAUGCCGCGUGAGUGAUGAAGGCCUUAGGGUCGUAAAGCUCUUUCGCCAGAGAUGAUAAUGACAGUAUCUGGUAAAGAAACCCCGGCUAACUCCGUGCCAGCAGCCGCGGUAAUAC
RNAcentral lists this ribosomal RNA (437 nucleotides) under uncultured marine bacterium. Its description in RNAcentral is "bacterial SSU rRNA". It matches the Rfam family "Bacterial small subunit ribosomal RNA", at positions 43 to 526 of the family's 1533-position model. The record is from RNAcentral.